Molecule: non-coding RNA, 29 nt
Filed under: Homo sapiens (human)
Lineage: Eukaryota; Metazoa; Chordata; Mammalia; Primates; Hominidae
Source: RNAcentral
UCUCAUAAGGAGCAUGUGACCUAGAUCCC